Molecule: long non-coding RNA, 993 nt
Organism: Apus apus (common swift)
Lineage: Eukaryota; Metazoa; Chordata; Aves; Apodiformes; Apodidae
Exons: 2
Source: RefSeq, a predicted model, not a curated record
CUACGGGAGGCGCGGGGGGACACGCCGGGCCGCGGGGCGUCUCCGCCUCAGGGCCCUGCCGGGGAGGCCUUCUCUCCCGGCAGCUCCAGGCCUCCCCCCCACCCCCCCAGAGCCGCCACUCGCUGCUCCCCGCCCCGCUGUCCCCCUGGAGCCGCGGCUGACGCCCGAUCCGGGCCGCGCCGGGAGCAGAAGGGACUUUUCUCCCAGCGCCCCAGCAGGGCGCCAGCCCGCCGCCGCAGAGGACGCCGUCGUGAGGGAGGGAACCGUCUUCCAACAGGCAGCGUCUGCCCUGUGGGACCUCGUGUUCAGGGCUUGAGGAGACCGUAUGCUGUCAACGUAAUCUGUCAUUUGUAGUAUGUGUGGGAAAAGUAAAGCUGGACGUCAGUCAAGGUGGGGGAUGCAUUGAUCCUGACUGGGAUCCCAUUGUAUGUUCAGAGGCCAUUUUUCUCCCCCGAAAGGGUUGUCAGGCCCUGGCUCAGGCUGCCCAGGGCAGGGGGGAAGUCCCCAUCCCUGGAGGGGUUUCCAAGCCGUGUAGAUGUGGUGCUGAGGGACAUGGGGCAGGGGUGGCCUUGGCAGGGCUGGGGGAAUGACUGGACUGGAUGAUCUUGAAGGUGAUUUCCAACCCAAAUAAUAUGAUGUGCCUUGGCAGGCACAGGGCUGUGCAGUGCUGAGCUGCACAAGCCCCUCAGCUACAGGAUGAGCCCAGCUGAGCCAUGGUUAUGGAGCCUGCAGGCAGAUCCUUCCAGGUACCAGCCCUUAGAGGCACCUGCCUAGUCCUGCCUGUGUCUGGAAAUGCAGCCAGGAGUUCUCAUGUAAACUUCCUUUACUAAUAGAGCUGUUUUCUUGUGAUAAUUUAUGUUUUAUCCCAAAGGACUGAAAAGGGAGAGUUCUGUCUGACUCUGCCUGACAGCAGGGUGCCCAGAAUCUGAUUUAUUCACUAUCUGUAUUCUUAUUAUUAUUCUGUCUCAUUAAAGCAGUUCUCUUAUUAAGGCA